UACGUAGGGGGCAAGCGUUGUCCGGAAUCAUUGGGCGUAAAGAGCGCGUAGGCGGCCCGGUAAGUCCGUUGUGAAAGUCCAGGGCUCAACCCUGGAAUGCCGAUGGAUACUGCCGGGCUAGAGUUCGGAAGAGGCGAGUGGAAUUCCUGGUGUAGCGGUGGAAUGCGCAGAUAUCAGGAGGAACACCUAUAGCGAAGGCAGCUCGCUGGGACGACACUGACGCUGAGGCGCGAAAGCGUGGGGAGCAAACAGG
RNAcentral lists this ribosomal RNA (253 nucleotides) under uncultured bacterium. RNAcentral describes it as "partial 16S ribosomal RNA". It matches the Rfam family "Bacterial small subunit ribosomal RNA", at positions 524 to 776 of the family's 1533-position model. The record is from RNAcentral.